GCACCCAUGUCUUUUGCGCACUUGUUGUUUCCUGGGCGGGUUCGCCCGCCACCAGGACCAAACCAUAAACCUUUUUUUUAUGCAGUUACCAUCAGCGUCAGUAAAAACAAUGUAAUUAAUUACAACUUUCAACAACGGAUCUCUUGGUUCUGGCAUCGAUGAAGAACGCAGCGAAAUGCGAUACGUAGUGUGAAUUGCAGAAUUCAGUGAAUCAUCGAAUCUUUGAACGCACAUUGCGCCCUUUGGUAUUCCAAAGGGCAUGCCUGUUCGAGCGUCAUUUGUACCUUCAAGCUUUGCUUGGUGUUGGGUGUUUUUGUCUCCCUCUUUCUGGGAGACUCGCCUUAAAACGAUUGGCAGCCGGCCUACUGGUUUCGGAGCGCAGCACAUAAUUUGCGCUUUGUAUCAGGAGAAAAGGACGGUAAUCCAUCAAGACUCUACAUUUUUCACUUUUGACCUCGGAUCAGGUAGGGAUACCCGCUGAACUUAAGCAUAUCA
This 495-nucleotide ribosomal RNA is filed under the name Bipolaris microstegii. Its description in RNAcentral is "eukaryotic LSU rRNA". The stretch from base 124 to 277 matches the Rfam family "5.8S ribosomal RNA". Lineage: Eukaryota; Fungi; Ascomycota; Dothideomycetes; Pleosporales; Pleosporaceae. The record is from RNAcentral.